GUCUCAGUUCGGAUUGGAGUCUGCAACCCGACCCCCACUGAAGCUGGAUUCGCUAGUAAUCGCGCAUCAGCCACGGCGCGGUGAAUACGUUCCCGGGCCUUGUACACACCGCCCGUCAAGCCAUGGAAGCCGGGAGUGCCUGAAGUGCGUGAGCGCAAGCAGCGCCCUAAGGUAAAACCGGUGACUGGGGCUAAGUCGUAACAAGGUAAC
Molecule: ribosomal RNA, 210 nt
Filed under: uncultured bacterium
Lineage: Bacteria
Description: partial 16S ribosomal RNA
Rfam family: Bacterial small subunit ribosomal RNA
Source: RNAcentral